This 253-nucleotide ribosomal RNA is filed under the name uncultured bacterium. RNAcentral's name for it is "partial 16S ribosomal RNA". It matches the Rfam family "Bacterial small subunit ribosomal RNA", at positions 524 to 776 of the family's 1533-position model. The record is from RNAcentral.
UACGUAGGGGGCGAGCGUUGUCCGGAUUUAUUGGGCGUAAAGAGCGUGUAGGCGGCCAGGUAGGUCUGCUGUGAAAACUCGAGGCUCAACCUCGAGACGUCGGCGGAAACCAUCUGGCUAGAGUACAGAAGAGGAAAGCGGAAUUCCACGUGUAGCGGUGAAAUGCGUAGAGAUGUGGAGGAACACCAGUGGCGAAGGCGGCUUUCUGGUCUGUAACUGACGCUGAGGCGCGAAAGCGUGGGGAGCAAACAGG